RNAcentral lists this transfer RNA (69 nucleotides) under Staphylinidae sp. BMNH 1274640. RNAcentral's name for it is "tRNA-Ser". The record is from RNAcentral. Lineage: Eukaryota; Metazoa; Arthropoda; Insecta; Coleoptera; Staphylinidae.
AGUUAAUGAACUUGAAAUAAGUAUAUACUUUGAAAGUAUACUAUAGAAAUAUAAAUUUUCUAUUAACUU